CAAAAGCCUGGUCCUGACUUUACUAUCCGCCGUAACCAAGUUUAUACAUGCAAGAAUCCGCACCCCUGUGAGAAUGCCCCCAAACCCCGCCCGGAGACGGGGAGCAGGCAUCAGGCACACUCACCGUAGCCCAAGACGCCUUGUAUAGCCACACCCCCAAGGGAACUCAGCAGUAAUAAACAUUAGGCAAUGAGUGCAAACUUGACCUAACCCUGGUUAAGAGGGCCGGUAAAACUCGUGCCAGCCACCGCGGCCAUACGAGUGAGCCCAAGCGGACAGUCUGUCGGCGUAAAGCGUGGUUAGGGACAAACUACUUUACCACUAAAGCUAAACCCCAUCAAAGCCGUAAUACGCACCCGAUGAUGUGAGACCCAAUCACGAAAGUGGCUUUAAAUUAACCCGAACCCACGAGAGCCGAGAAACAAACUGGGAUUAGAUACCCCACUAUGCUCAGCCGUAAACAACGAUAGGUCUCUUACAACACCUAUUCGCCAGGGGACUACAAGCAUUAGCUUCAAACCCAAAGGACUUGGCGGUGCUUUAGACCCACCUAGAGGAGCCUGUCCUAGAACCGAUAACCCCCGUUCAACCUCACCACUUCUUGCCCAGCCCGCCUAUAUACCGCCGUCGUCAGCUUACCCUGUGAAGGACUUAUAGUAAGCUAAAUUGGCACAGCCCUAAACGUCAGGCCGAGGUGUAGCCUACGAAGUGCGCAAGAGAUGGGCUACAUUUUCUGACCCAGAAAACUACGAAAGAGAACCUGAAACAAGUCUCCGAAGGAGGAUUUAGCAGUAAGCAGGGAAUAGAGCGCCCUACUGAAACUGGCCCUUAAGCGCGUACACACCGCCCGUCACCCUCCCCAAAUUCGACAUGCAUAAAACAUAUUUCACCAACCGAAUAAAGGAGAGGCAAGUCGUAACAUGGUAAGUGUACCGGAAGGUGCACUUGGAUAACA
RNAcentral lists this non-coding RNA (955 nucleotides) under Benthosema pterotum (skinnycheek lanternfish). Its description in RNAcentral is "12S rRNA". It matches the Rfam family "Bacterial small subunit ribosomal RNA". The record is from RNAcentral. Lineage: Eukaryota; Metazoa; Chordata; Actinopteri; Myctophiformes; Myctophidae.